GUUCGUCUGACAUUCGCUCACUACAUAUAGCAUCUUUUAUACAAUGGUAGAGGUUCUCAGCACCAGCAUCUAUGCAUAACUUCUCAAAUGCAUUGGGGUCCAUUUCUGGUUGAGUCAUGUUAGAAACGAAUGAUCUGAUUUUGAGAAGAUCAUUCUGGAAAUUUGAGCAAAAGGAAGCUUUCUUUAGCAGUGACUCGUACUCAUCAUUUGAAAGAUAAAUACCAUUUGUUGUCUGACACUCUUUUUCUGCCACAGUGCUAGUAGUGCCAGAGAUGUCUUGACUUUCGUCCCAAUGGCCAACUGUUUGCUCUGGAGAACUCAAAGUUAUUGUGGUGGCAUUACUUGAUUGAGUAUUAGUUAGCUGUUCUAGUUGAUCUGAUGAUACAGGUGAACUCAUUGUAACUGUUGAAGUCUCGUCUACUGGGUUUUCAUCUUCCUCAGCAUCUAAGACUACUUCAGGUGUUUGGUUUGCUACUAUGUCUCCAGUGGAAUUUUCCAAUAUCUGCAGCUAUGGCAAAUAUGGAUUAAUUACAAUCAAUGACAGAAAGAGGAUGACAACCAGGUAAUUUACUCAUUCAAUCACAUUUUAUAUUGAUUUGAACCAUUAGGCCUAAAAAAGAAAUACCUGUGGUUCCGGUUUCAUAUCGUGAAAAAAUUAGAGUCGGUAGGUCGGAAAUAAUUUUUUUUUUUGAAUAUUUUUUCAUGGUUUUGCUGGUUUUUUGCUGGGCGAUUUGCAGUAGAGUCCCAACAUCAAAUAUCAUCAUUAUUAACUAGAGGUUGCAGCCCGCAACCACCUGGAGAAAAUAGGGUCGCACGGUCAAUCGCGUUGAAAAAAUAAUAGAGUCGGCAGGAAAAAAAAUAGGGUCGGUCGGGAACCGGAACCACAGGUAUUUUUUUUACGCCUUAACUGGAUGAUACGCUAAUGGGUAGUACUUUUUUACUAACAGGUAAAAUUGUUUGGCCAGUGUAGGACAGGAUAAGUAGUCAUAUCUGGGCACAUGUAUUACAUGUAAGUAGGCUUAUCUACUAGGCACAUAUCAAGUAAAGGGGUUAAUCUAUUAAGUGGUGUUAUGUGUCCUGAUUGAUACAUUUGGUUUUAGCUCCCCAAUUUUACUUGUAUGUAUCGGAGGAGUGCCAAUAUUAUCUAUUAGUCGAAAUUUAGUAUUGGCACAUAUGGGUGACAAUCUGAGAAUUUCAAGGCUGUGUGACAAACUGAACACAAUUUAUGCACCUGUAAAAAUACUACAAAAAUAUCUCCUGAAUAAAUCUUUAGAUGUCUCCAUUGAAAUGGUAUCAGCACCCAACGCUCCUUACAGGGCGGCCGCCAAGAGGGGGGACAGGGGGGGGAAUUGCCCCAGGCCCCCAGCUUACACAGUAAUAGGGCCCCAACUUGACAGCAAAAGCCUAAAAUUGAGUAGGUUCUUUAAUUUGGUCAGCACAUUUUUGCAGUCUACAGUAGCUAAGGUCUAUAGUUGGGUGACUGACUUGGGUUCAGAUUAAAAAUAAUGAUGUCAUGGGCCCCGGAGAAGAUUUUCUCCGGGCAAUGCGAAUUCUCUCAGCGGCCCUGGUUCCUUAAUUAACCCCCUCCAAUCAAUUCAAUGCACACUCACCAUCCUCUAUCAAGAACCAGCCCACAUUUGGUUGGAUUAGGUUUGCAUACUUUAAUUGUAUCAUACUUGAACAAAAUUGUUUAAUUCUAUAGAGAAAUAAAACCGAGUACUUUCUUUACACCCCCCCCCUCCCUUCAAUGGUGUCACAAAAGGCCCUCAGGAGGGUUAGUGGAGAGAUUGCAUUUUUUCCCACCACCACCUAUAGUCCCCUCUUGAGGCAUGUUGUGUCUUCAAUCUCAAACUGUAAGUUACCAGCUAAGAAUAUGGUCAAACACACUACUGGCCUUGUUCUCCUAGCUUACCUGCCUCUGUACUUUAUCUUUUAGCUGAUCAUUCUGGCCCUUUGGAAGCAGCUUAGUGAAUCUACGCUUAUUAAAACAUUCAUGAAGACAUGUUGUACAAAGGUUUUUUAUGCCAUGGGCCGAUUUUUUACCCGUUUCCUCUUCGACGUACUGCUCGAAAACAGUUGUUAUCGUGACCAAACCACGACCUCGGAGAUUAACAAUCUUUUUCCCUUCAUCUUUUGACCAGUUUUCAUGAAAGGGGUUGUUGCACGACCUUUGAAAUUUAGGCAUGUUCGUAAUUUUACAGUAAUACUACCAGUUUUAAUUUGAGAAGGAAAAAAAGAACACUUUUUUGCGAAAAAGGCGCGAAUUUUCCCGCCAUAAACGAUGUAAAAUUAUGUUCGAUUUGUAUAUAGAAAUCUAUUUGUAAAAAUCCCGUGUGAAAUUUUCACGCAAAACUGUAUUUAACUUAAACGUAUCUACCGUUGCAUCCUUUGACAACAUUUAUAUGUGUAAUUGCUACAAACACGUCUUAUUAAGUACAGAUAAUCGGUUCUAUUCGGUAUAUUUCAUGCUUCGGCCAAGCUAGUCAAGCUAGUUUAAGUGCGUAAAAACAGG
Molecule: long non-coding RNA, 2512 nt
Filed under: Paramuricea clavata
Lineage: Eukaryota; Metazoa; Cnidaria; Anthozoa; Malacalcyonacea; Plexauridae
Source: RNAcentral